AGCUGUGACGUUACUCGCAGAAGAAGCACCGGCUAAUUUAGUGCCAGCAGCCGCGGUAAUACUAAAGGUGCAAGCGUUAAUCGGAAUUACUGGGCGUAAAGCGCGCGUAGGUGGUUUGUUAAGUUGGAUGUGAAAGCCCAGGGCUCAACCUUGGAACUGCAUUCAAAACUGACUCACUAGAGUACGAGAGAGGUUAGUGGAAUUUCCUGUGUAGCGGUGAAAUGCGUAGAGAUGGGAAGGAACACCAGUGGCGAAGGCGACUGACUGGCUCGAUACUGACACUGAGGUGCGAAAGCGUGGGGAGCAAACGGGAUUAGAUACCCCGGUAGUCCACGCCGUAAACGAUGUCUACUAGCCGUUGGAGGACUUGUUCCUUUAGUGGCGAAGCUAACGCGAUAAGUAGACCGCCUGGGGAGUACGGUCGCAAGAUUAAAACUCAAAUGAAUUGACGGGGGCCCGCACAAGCGGUGGAGCAUGUGGUUUAAUUCGAAGCAACGCGAAGAACCUUACCUACUCUUGACAUCCAGUGAACUUAGCAGAGAUGCUUUGGUGCCUUCGGGAACACUGAGACAGGUGCUGCAUGGCUGUCGUCAGCUCGUGUUGUGAAAUGUUGGGUUAAGUCCCGUAACGAGCGCAACCCUUGUCCUUAGUUACCAUCAUUCAGUUGGGG
RNAcentral lists this ribosomal RNA (670 nucleotides) under uncultured bacterium. Its description in RNAcentral is "bacterial SSU rRNA". It matches the Rfam family "Bacterial small subunit ribosomal RNA", at positions 465 to 1136 of the family's 1533-position model. The record is from RNAcentral.